RNAcentral lists this transfer RNA (72 nucleotides) under Alosa alosa (allis shad). RNAcentral's name for it is "tRNA-OTHER". Lineage: Eukaryota; Metazoa; Chordata; Actinopteri; Clupeiformes; Clupeidae. The record is from RNAcentral.
UGGCGGUUAGCUCAGUUGGUUGGCGUGGUGCUAAUAGCGCCAAGGUGGCGGGUUCGAUCCCGUCUGGGCCAA